RNAcentral lists this ribosomal RNA (379 nucleotides) under uncultured Synechococcus sp. Its description in RNAcentral is "bacterial SSU rRNA". It matches the Rfam family "Bacterial small subunit ribosomal RNA", at positions 367 to 758 of the family's 1533-position model. The record is from RNAcentral. Lineage: Bacteria; Bacillati; Cyanobacteriota; Cyanophyceae; Synechococcales; Synechococcaceae.
CGCAAUGGGCGAAAGCCUGACGGAGCAACGCCGCGUGAGGGAUGAAGGCCUCUGGGCUGUAACCCUCUUUUUCCAAGGAAGAAGAUCUGACGGUACUUGAGGAAUAAGCCACGGCUAAUUCCGUGCCAGCAGCCGCGGUAAUACGGGAGUGGCAAGCGUUAUCCGGAAUCAUUGGGCGUAAAGCGUCCGCAGGUGUCUUUGUAAGUCUGCCGUUAAAGCGUGGAGCUUAACUCCAUUUCAGCGGUGGAAACUACAAGGCUUGAGUGCGGUAGGGGCAGAGGGAAUUCCCGGUGUAGCGGUGAAAUGCGUAGAUAUCGGGAAGAACACCAGUGGCGAAGGCGCUCUGCUGGGCCUAUAUCUUGUUCUUUGCGGGAUGGUA